GACGAACCGUGCGAACGUUGUUCGGAUUCACUGGGCUUAAAGGGCGCGUAGGCGGCUCGCCAAGUCGGGGGUGAAAUCUUUCGGCUCAACCGGAAAACAGCUUCCGAUACUGGCGGGCUCGAGUGGGGUAGGGGCGACUGGAACUUCCGGUGGAGCGGUGAAAUGCGCAGAUAUCAGGAGGAACACCAAUGGCGAAGGCAGCACUCUGGGACGGUACUGACGCUGAGACGCGAAAGCGUGGGGAGCAAACAGG
This 253-nucleotide ribosomal RNA is filed under the name uncultured bacterium. RNAcentral describes it as "partial 16S ribosomal RNA". It matches the Rfam family "Bacterial small subunit ribosomal RNA", at positions 524 to 776 of the family's 1533-position model. The record is from RNAcentral.